UAUUACGGAGACUACACUGUUUGUUUUAUACUUUGUUCAGUUUUGAGAGGUCUACUCUCAAAAAUAAAUCGGGGCCUUAGCUCAGCUGGGAGAGCGCCUGCUUUGCACGCAGGAGGUCAGCGGUUCGAUCCCGCUAGGCUCCAUUAACAACAUUAGUUGUUAAAACAUUUUGUUCAUUGAAAACUGGAUAUUUGAAGUAAAUUAGUAAUACAAACCGAGAACACCGCGUUGAAUGAGUUUUUUAAUAAGUUCAAUUGCUUAUUUUCUUGAUCGGACUUCUAUCGCUAGAAGAAAGAUCAAAACCCAACCGUAAGGUUGAUA
RNAcentral lists this transfer RNA (321 nucleotides) under Enterococcus hirae. Its description in RNAcentral is "16S-23S ribosomal RNA intergenic spacer". The stretch from base 71 to 143 matches the Rfam family "tRNA". Lineage: Bacteria; Bacillati; Bacillota; Bacilli; Lactobacillales; Enterococcaceae. The record is from RNAcentral.